AGAGUUUGAUCMUGGCUCAGGACGAACGCUGGCGGCGUGCCUAAUACAUGCAAGUCGAGCGAUGAUUAAAGAUAGCUUGCUAUUUUUAUGAAGAGCGGCGAACGGGUGAGUAACGCGUGGGAAAUCUGCCGAGUAGCGGGGGACAACGUUUGGAAACGAACGCUAAUACCGCAUAACAAUGAGAAUCGCAUGAUUCUUAUUUGAAAGAAGCAAUUGCUUCACUACUUGAUGAUCCCGCGUUGUAUUAGCUAGUUGGUAGUGUAAAGGACUACCAAGGCGAUGAUACAUAGCCGACCUGAGAGGGUGAUCGGCCACACUGGGACUGAGACACGGCCCAGACUCCUACGGGAGGCAGCAGUAGGGAAUCUUCGGCAAUGGGGGCAACCCUGACCGAGCAACGCCGCGUGAGUGAAGAAGGUUUUCGGAUCGUAAAACUCUGUUGUUAGAGAAGAACGUUAAGUAGAGUGGAAAAUUACUUAAGUGACGGUAU
RNAcentral lists this ribosomal RNA (490 nucleotides) under Lactococcus garvieae. RNAcentral describes it as "bacterial SSU rRNA". It matches the Rfam family "Bacterial small subunit ribosomal RNA", at positions 8 to 478 of the family's 1533-position model. The record is from RNAcentral. Lineage: Bacteria; Bacillati; Bacillota; Bacilli; Lactobacillales; Streptococcaceae.